GGUGGCUGUAGAUGGACCAUUUGGUACUGCUACUGAGGACAUAUUUUGGUAUGAAGUUGAUGUGUUUGUAGCCUCAGGGAUAGGAGUUACUCCAUUUGCAUCAAUAUUGAAACACAUCAGGUAAAGAAAUCAACUUGUAAGAGCGUUUAAAAUUCAAAAAAGAGGAGAUUGCUUCUCUGAGUUAUUUUAAUAAUGAAUGUAGCUGUAUGCAUACACAGAAAUGUAUAAGCCUUGAAAAAGAAACAAAAUGAAUAAAUUCAGAUACAGGAAUUGAAAAGACUUUUUUCCAAUUCAUUUACUUCAAUUUAUAUGAUGUAAUAUACAAAAACAUAUAUUUGAAAAGGCAAAGAAAAUAAUCUCUCGCUUUGAAGUUUUGUCUCGACUCAUUUUUUUGCGCCCGUUUAUGGAACAUAUAGAAUACUGUUGUCUGUCCGUCAAUUCUUCGUCAAAAUUUCGGACAUUUACUAAAAAAUACUGUAACCAAAUUGCAUCAAACUUUGCUGAAUUGUUUAUAUCUACUGACUUGAACUCCCUUUCGAUUUUUAUUCAUUAAAAAGGGUGAUUUUCCAUGCUUUCUUCAACUUGCAAGAAAUGUUUUUUGAGUUGUUCAUGUUGUUCACAUUUUUAUAAAUUUUUGAUUUUUAGGGUUUUAUAAAUAAAAAAAGGCGAUGUUGCUGGUUUUUUAAUAAUUACUCAAAAUGCUUCAGAAGUUCUCAUAAAACUUAGGUGAAUCAUUAAUAUCUAUUGAGGUAAGUUCCCUUUAUAAUUUUAAUAAUUCAAGAUAUUACAUAACGGAGUUUUGUUGUUUUAUUCAUUAAAAAAGGGGGGAUUUUUCAGUUUUUUGCACAAAAACUCAAAAAAUGCUUUCAGCAAUUCUCAUAAAACUUUGGUGAAUUGUUAUAUCUAUUCAUUUAGCCAAACUUCAAUGGUGUUUGUAUUCCGUUAUAUCUCAUAUUGUAUUUUCUUGUAGUCUCAUAUUGUAUUUUCUUGUAAUGUUCUAUUGUAAUUUAUUGUAGUCUCUUAUUAUAUAUUUCUUGCAGUCUCAUAGUUGAAAUAUUUUUUCUGUAGUUUCAGUAGGAGGUUGUGUAAUUUUUUGUUCGUGCAACUGUUAAGGGAUCCUGAUAGAGCAAAUCUCAAUUAAAGUCAACAUAGCAAUAUAAUAGCUAGUCAACAUAAAAGACAAAAUAAUUGCUCCAAAACAAACUACACCCAAGGCAAAUAUAAGGGGUUUCUGUGUGUAAACCAAAACAUAGUCUCAGCAAAUCAUUCUGGCUUAAAGUAGAAAGACAGUUAGAAUUAAUAUUUAUUCCAAAAUCAUUUAAUUUUGGCUUUUGAGAAACACGCAGCAGCAUCCAAAACGAAUUUUGAGUUCCUGUCUGAGCAAGUCAGCUUGCAACCUUCAGUGUAAGGAAGAACCUACCUGCCCGACAAUGCGCCAACAAGGUGAUGUGAAGCGAGUGUUUUCUACUUAGGUGAUGAGACUAUUCGUCUCAUCAGCAGCCAGGUAGUGCAAUGUCUGCAUGGGGGAUAGUCCAUGUGCUAGUAGAGAAGUAGGGGUUUAUCAAAUUGGCACUAGAAUAAAUUUAAUAAGAUUUGUCCCCGAAAUGCUUGAGGAUGAAUGAAAUUUUAGAAUUGACCAGUGAUAAAAUUCCAUUAAGGAAAAAAUAAAAUAAAGAAAAAUAUAUAUCACUAGUUAAAGCUGAGUUGUUUCUCUAGUCAUGAAACAAUAUUGAAGAUUUAAGAAGGGGAAGGUGGGAGGUAAAUUGAAUAAUAGCACUGUAAAACUCCAUCAGAUAGUCAGGCUGCUAUGAACCAAGAAACUGAUUAUACAAAGACCAUGCAUUGGCUUUACACAAAGAGUUGGUACAUCUAACAUCCAGGGGGAGGAGACUGACCUUACUGACCCUCAAAUAAUACCCUAAUUAUUGUGUAAUCAGAAAUAAAAAUAUCUGGUAUCAUAUCCUGCUUUUCCUCUCCUACAGUGAUUGUUUGUGACAUGUAUCUGAUUAAGAAAAGAUUAGUGUGCCUCCUUUGGUGAGAUUCCAGUUGUAACUUCAGAGUGUCAAAUGUUAGAAAAAUUAACCUCAAGAUAAAGCAAAACAAUGUUGUUGUUUUAUGUGUUGCUGUAAUUGUCUAAAAAAUGUAUAAUGGUUGUUUUAAUAUCCUGUAGGUGCCAGUGUAUGAACCCUGAUGGAAAAAUGAAGUUAAGAAAGGUAUAAUUUUUCUGGGUAUGUCCAGAUACCAACUCAUUUGAAUAGAUGCAAGAAC
RNAcentral lists this long non-coding RNA (2268 nucleotides) under Mytilus galloprovincialis (Mediterranean mussel). Lineage: Eukaryota; Metazoa; Mollusca; Bivalvia; Mytilida; Mytilidae. The record is from RNAcentral.